UGGGCUGGAGUGACAUCAUGAAUGAGCCAAAGGUGCCAUGUAAUGAGCACCUACUGUGUGCAAGGCACAGGCUGGGGUCUGUCCUUCAUCUGCUCUAACCUCACAGCCCUGGUGCACCAGGGAUGGCUGACCCACCACUCAGUCCAUUGCAGCUCAGAGAGGUUAGCCAUGUGCCCCAGGUCACCCAACCUGGCCAGGGCAGGACUGGGCCUGGACCCCAGGAUGUCAGUUCCCAUUGGUGUCCUCACGCUGCCCCCAGGUAGACACCAGCACCAAGCUCUGGGCUCCUCAUCUUCAGGAGUCUGUCCUGUGUCACCUAGAGCUGAGGGUCCUUCUCAAUACCUGCCCCACAGCAUAGCAGGUAUGCAGGUGGGCAGGAUUGGGGUGAACCCUGAUGCACACUUGGGAUGGUUGGGCUGGGCUGGGGCUCUGCCUCCUGAGCUCUGUGAGGCCCCUUAUGUCACCUAAUGUCACCACAGGCCUAUGAGCAGGAAGGGACCUGGGAUGAACAGACAUGAACCUGACACUCAGAGAAGAGAAGGGAACACCCAGCCCCACAGUGGGAGCAGCAGAGCCAGGACCUGAACCAGGUCUGACUCCAGCCCUUGUUCCCUGCCCUGAGAGACCCUCACUUAUCCCUCUGGGCUGGACUCCAUGGUGGUGAGGGACAGACCCUCAGAGCCUUCUGGAAAUUCAGAUUGGAGAUGAGAGCACAGAUGCAAAGAUUCUCCUGGGAUUUCUCCAUUCUGGCAUCUGGCUGAUGUUUACUGAGCAGGUGCCCCAUCCAGCAUAGGACCAGCCCAGGAGGGUGAGAGGACAUCAGCAUAGACCAGGAAGAGGGUGAUUAUUCUGAGAUCUGUCCAGAAGGUCACUGUGGUUCAAACAGUCAGAGAAGCUGAGGUAUUUACAAAAUAUUUUCCUGCAUCAAUGUCUUCCAUGAAGAACUUGGCCCAGUCCCUGUGAACCAGAAGUUUCUGUCUGUCUAAGGGUAUAUCCAUCUCUUCUGGAUACAGACAGUCCUCCAGCUCCCCCAACACCAGAUCAUCACGGGGUUCCCUAAGGGGAUCACAGAGCCUGGCUCAGGCCAGAUGGUGGGUUUGGGGAGUGUCCCUGGAAGGAAUCAGAGGCUGCAUUAGAAAGACCUUCCCACUCCCUCAUUCUCCCUGCUCAGCCCAUGCCCCUUCUCUUUUAUCACCUAAUCUCCAAACCUCUGUGCCACCUCCUGAGCCCCAGACAUGAAGUAGGAGGAAGGACAGAGAGACUGGGGAGGACUCACCAUUCUGCUCACACGUUUUCUGGCCCAGACUCAGCCCCGGAAGAGAGUCCCUGUCAGAUUUGCACCCAGAUGUCUGAGCUGAUUCCCUUUUAUUAGGGCCUCAUCUGCUCCAGCUGCCUGAGCCCUGAGGUUCCCUGUGAACAAGCUUGUGCUGCUGCCACAUCCUUUCCUGCUGCCCCAUCCCCAUGUCUGUAACUGACAGAAGCAGGGAAGAGCAGGAAGGAUGGACAUCUGCUCUGAGUGCUCCCGCUCUGCAGGUGGACGAGACCCUAGGUGUGUCUCUGUCCUCUAGGCUCCAAUCCUGGGCCUGGAGGGCAGAGAUGCACAGGAUGUGGUGAGUCAGGGGCUGCUACUGCCUUUCCAGGUUCCAACCCCUGUGGACCCACAGCCAGGGGAUGCCCCUGCCAUGGGGUCGGCUCUGGGUUUUUCCAUGAUGAGGGCUCAAGAGGACACGAGGCAUUGAGGAGACUCUCACCCAGAUCUGGGGUCUCUAUUCCCUGCCAGGAUCCUCUGCCUUGUCUUUGCUCCUGUCAGAGAGGGCGGGACCCAGGCUCUGAUCCUCAGCCCAUCCUGCACAGGCUGACGCUAAAUAGAACUCGCUACUCAUUGUCUCAGCCUCCCACAAACAGCAUUUACUUGUUCACUGAUCACCUAGUAAAGCCGAGUGUGUCAGAGCUAUAAAUGCAUCCCUGAUCCAGGAGACUGAUUUUCUGCAUUUUGAGCACUCUUUGUAGCAUAAAAUGAGCAUUCCGAGUUGAAAGUGGAAAUGCUGUUUUUUUCAUCCUCAUUGAGGGAUAAGUUUAUCAAUUUUGUAGAGAAAGGAUGGGAGAGACAGUUAGACAGGCAUUGAUGAGAAAGAGAAACACUGAUCAGUUGUCUCUGCUGCACACCAAGACUGGGAUGGAACUCACAACCUUUUGGUGUGUGAGUAAGUAAGUAAGCCAAGCAAGUAAGCCACUGGGCCAGGGCUGAGGGAAGGGGUGUUGAAUGAGGUUGAACCCUAGGAGGUGGGAGUGAGAAUACUCUGGAGAGGAAAGAAUAUCAUAGGGAAAUCUAGAGACAGAGACUGUUUGAUAGCAGUGAGGGCAGGUGAGGUAGUGGCUGGUCAUGGGAAUUAUCUUAUGCCACAUAACGCUACUGGAUUAAGUGUGUGAGGCAGAGACAUUUACAGGAAUAAACUGUUACAGUCACACUGGGUUAUGAAUCUCAUAUGUGCCACGUGUCAUAGAGGAACUAGAGCAGUGAAAUGUGUGUCAGUGAUGCGUAAUGUGAACAGUAAUUGAACUCCAGUUCUAUGUGUCCAACACUAUUAGAUGAAAGGCUUCCAUGGAUUCACCACACAAUCCAUGCAUACUUUUAGGUGUCACAACACAUGCAGGGAAGGGAAAUUAGAAGAAAUCUCAGUGUUGCUUCUAAUCCUGUGCUUUUAGCUGGAAUAUGCUAGUUCUACAGGACUCUAAGGAAGCAGAAAUGGAGGAGAACUGAUGGUCCAUAGGAGGCGGUGUGAGUGUGUCUCUGUGUGUAAGUGUAUAUGUGUGAGUGUAUAUGUGUGAGUGUGUGUAUGACUGUGUGUUCACAAAGUAACUGCACCAAUCUGGUUGAGGGAAGCAGCAGUGAGAGCUGAGGAUGGAGGGUCACAGGGGGAUGAUUAUGAAUAGCUGUGAGUUCAGAAGAAAGAGUCUAAAUUUACCCUGAAGACAGUGAGGACCAUGGAUGGAUUUGAGCAGAAAUGGACAGAUACUGAGAAAAAGGUGGAGAGUCUGCUGUGGAGGGCAACUUGCAGAAGAGAGUGAGGACUUGGAGCUCAGAACCCAGGCAGGUGGUGAAUGUGGCCACUGCCUUGGGGACAUGAAGGGUGACCUUCUCUUUCUGCCUCAUUGACUGAAGGCCCCCAGGGAGCCCUCAUGACAGGGAGCCAGGGGAAGGUCAGGGGGAGGGGCAUGGAUGAGCCCAGGGUCUGUGCAACACUCUGCUCCUAUAGGAGAGCUCAAUGCCCCCUCCUGGCCCUGGAACACAGGGGCUGCAUCUCACAGUUUCCACCUGACUCUGUGUCUCUGUGACACAUGGGCUCUUUCUCCCUCUUCUUGGGGCAAGUCCUUUGGGUCAUUUCUGCCUCCUCAGAGCAGAGCAUUUCUGCCUCCUUUGGUGCUGGGCAUCACUCUCCUAUUGAAACUUUGGAGACUUUGAGGAUUCAGAAAACAAUGGACAUUUGUGGAAGCUCUGUUAGAGGCAGAACAACACCCCCCCACCCUUUAAAUGUCAGUUGUUGCAAUACCACAUCCUGAAUGGCUGAAGGACCCUUGAGCAGCCUGCUUCCUCUGCUGCUCUCACUUUUCUCACUUGUAGCUCAGUGAUACCAGCACCACCCCCGCAAGUGUGAUUAGAAUUUACUCUGCCUGAGAUAUUGCGGGAAAGAAGCCAGACAUGCAGAUUUAGAUGUAGAUGUUGGAAGUUUGAGAAAGUGAAAAGCAGAGAUACCUUGUCCAAUGGAGCAGAGGGAAGGAUCAGACUCAGACCACAGUGCAGGGUCAUGUGAUCACAAGAGAGACCCUCACAGUGCAGUCGGCAGCUCCUGGUCUUUCCAUCACAGGUGCUGGGCCAGCUGGGGGAGUCUGUGGAACAAGGUGAACUGCAUUCCACAAAUGAAGUUCAGUCCAUGCACAAAAUCAGUGCUAGAUUCACAACAGACUGGAGUAAACCAAUUACUUUUUCUUUAGCAAAAUAUGUAGGAAGGAAAUGUCUUUUUUCUUUGUUCUUUUUUUCUUUGUAGGAAGCUUGUUUUAAAAAUCUUUUUAGAACAUUUUUAUUCUACUACAGUUGUCCCAAUUUCCCCCCUUUGCCCUCGUUUGCCCAUGCCAGGCCUCCACUCCCACAGUCAGUUCCCACACUGUUGUUUAUGCCCAUUGGCCAUUCAUACAUGUUUUUGACUAGUCCCUUCCCUUUCCCCCCACUAUUAUCCCUCUCCCUGCCUCCUCUGUUCACUGUCAGUCCAUGAUUCCAUGCCUGUGGUUAUAUUUUUUCAUUAGUUUAUUUUGCUCAUUAGAUUCCUCUUAUAGGUGAGAUUGUAUGGCAUUUGCCUGUCACCAACUGGCUUAUUUCACCGAAUUAGCAUAAUAUUCUGCAGUCCCAUGCAUGCUGUUGUGAAAUGUAGGAACUCCUUCUUUCAUUCUUCUGUGUAGUAUUCCAUUGUGUAAAUGUACCACAGUUUUCUGAUCCACCCAUUUACUGAUGGGCACGUGGGUUGUUUUCAGCACUUGGCUAUUGUAAAUAGUGCUGCUAGGAACAUAGGGGUGAAUAAUUUCUUUGGAAUUGGUGAAUAGGGAUUCUUAGGCCUAUUUCCACAGGAACAGAGGAUGAGAUGGGCAGAGAAAAGCAAAGGGAAAAUUGGGACAACUGUACUAAAACAACAAUAAAACAUUGAAACACACACACAGAGCCAGGAGUGGUGUAGAUGCGGGGGUGGAGCUGUCCACCGACCAGUGCUGAAAUCUCCACCACCUCUUGGAAUUCACAUUCAAAAUAGGACAGAAGCAGGGGAGACGCAGGUGGCCCAUGGUUUUGAGGAAAGCCUCCUCCAUACACGUGCACAUUCCUGGUCAAGGCUGGACUCGGUCUUGGUGGGCACAACCUCUGGACAGUAGAUGAGCCGUCCUCACUCGGGGAUUCUGUGAUGACUUUUGUGGAUUUACUUUGCAGUAUCAGGUUUGUGCAGUUCUUACUUUAGGAAACAGGGUAAAGUCUCAGUGGACAAUGCUAUAGCAGAGCUUUUGAUGGUUUGUUUUUCAGUUGUUAAGGUGAAGCUCAAGAUCAAAAUCACAGGAUGUGGUGGGCCAGGUCCCCACACCACAGUCUGUACAGGGCACGAGGUGCCUGUCACACAGGAAGAGGACCAGCUCUGCUCACCCUAAAAAUAGCAGGUGCUGAGGGACUGACCUGAGCCACAUUUCUCAACACCCCUCAUGUUUGAGCUGUGACAUUUAUCUUUCCUAAACUCUACAGUCACAGAUAGAUUUUAACAUAGUUUGCUGCCAUUUGAAAGUGAUAACAACAACUUAGUCCCUAGUAUUCAAUAUUUCUGGGCCAAGCUGUUGUGUGAAAUGGUUAACGAUAUAAAGCUAUUUUCAGGAGAAAUAUGAAGUCUCUCUCUUCUAAUAUCUACUAGGUUUUAUACCAGAUGCGUAUUUUUUAUUCUCUUGACAAACAUAAAGCAAAGUAAACAGCUUGAUUCUGCAUUUCUAGAAGAGAAGAAAACUUAUGAGGUGUGUUUUUUGUUGUUUUAUUAAAAUCAUAUGUUUACAUAUGAGUCAAAACACAUUUUCUUCUAUGAGAGAGAGGGGGGCACAGAAAGGAAAGGAGAGAGAGAGUUUGUUAGUUUGGUAAGUUUGCCACAAUAAAAUACAACUAAAUGGGUGCCUUA
This is a long non-coding RNA of Artibeus jamaicensis (Jamaican fruit-eating bat), 5693 nucleotides long. RefSeq lists it as uncharacterized. The record is from RefSeq and is a predicted model, not a curated record. Lineage: Eukaryota; Metazoa; Chordata; Mammalia; Chiroptera; Phyllostomidae. The transcript is spliced from 4 exons.